AUUGAACGCUGGCGGCAGGCCUAACACAUGCAAGUCGAGCGGUAGAGAGAAGCUUGCUUCUCUUGAGAGCGGCGGACGGGUGAGUAAUGCCUAGGAAUCUGCCUGGUAGUGGGGGAUAACGUUCGGAAACGGACGCUAAUACCGCAUACGUCCUACGGGAGAAAGCAGGGGACCUUCGGGCCUUGCGCUAUCAGAUGAGCCUAGGUCGGAUUAGCUAGUUGGUGGGGUAAUGGCUCACCAAGGCGACGAUCCGUAACUGGUCUGAGAGGAUGAUCAGUCACACUGGAACUGAGACACGGUCCAGACUCCUACGGGAGGCAGCAGUGGGGAAUAUUGGACAAUGGGCGAAAGCCUGAUCCAGCCAUGCCGCGUGUGUGAAGAAGGUCUUCGGAUUUUAAAGCACUUUAAGUUGGGAGGAAGGGCAGUAAAUUAAUACUUUGCUGUUUUGACGGUACCGACAGAAUAAGCACCGGCUAACUCUGUG
This 484-nucleotide ribosomal RNA is filed under the name uncultured bacterium. RNAcentral describes it as "partial 16S ribosomal RNA". It matches the Rfam family "Bacterial small subunit ribosomal RNA", at positions 30 to 507 of the family's 1533-position model. The record is from RNAcentral.